Molecule: ribosomal RNA, 699 nt
Filed under: Plasmodium ovale (malaria parasite P. ovale)
Lineage: Eukaryota; Apicomplexa; Aconoidasida; Haemosporida; Plasmodiidae
Description: SSU rRNA
Rfam family: Eukaryotic small subunit ribosomal RNA
Source: RNAcentral
CUUUGUGUAAAUUAGAGUGUUCAAAGCAAACAGUUAAAGCAUUUUUACUGCGUUUGAAUACUACAGCAUGGAAUAACAAAAUUGAACAAGUCAGAAUUCUGUUCUUUUUUCUUAUUUUGGCUUAGUUACGAUUAAUAGGAGUAGCUUGGGGGCAUUUGUAUUCAGAUGUCAGAGGUGAAAUUCUUAGAUUUUCUGGAGACAAACAACUGCGAAAGCAUUUGCCUAAUAUAUUUCCAUUAAUCAAGAACGAAAGUUAAGGGAGUGAAGACGAUCAGAUACCGUCGUAAUCUUAACCAUAAACUAUACCAACUAGGUUUUGGAUGAAAAGUUUUUAAAUAAGAGAAUUCCUUUCGGGGAAAUUUCUUAGAUUGCUUCUUUCAGUACCUUAUGAGAAAUCAAAGUCUUUGGGUUCUGGGGCGAGUAUUCGCGCAAGCGAGAAAGUUAAAAGAAUUGACGGAAGGGCACCACCAGGCGUGGAGCUUGCGGCUUAAUUUGACUCAACACGGGGAAACUCACUAGUUUAAGACAAGAGUAGGAUUGACAGAUUAAUAGCUCUUUCUUGAUUUCUUGGAUGGUGAUGCAUGGCCGUUUUUAGUUCGUGAAUAUGAUUUGUCUGGUUAAUUCCGAUAACGAACGAGAUCUUAACCUGCUAAUUAGCGGCGAAUACGUUAUAUUCUUAUGUGAAAUUGAAUAUAGCUG